ACAACCGCGGUACUAGGUACCCAUUUAUUUAAUAUUUUUACAUUAUCUUACCUAUUUUUGGAUUUCUCUGCCGACGUCCUCAAAGAACGGACCCCGAGCAGAGCGUCUUCAGUCGCUUCGGCGUGAAAAUGCUCACGGUACCAGCAAGCUUAGUUUAUACUAAGUCCGGUGAAUCCCCGUCACGAGCUGACGAGGAUUCAACCCAUUCGUUGAAAAAAAAAAAAUCCGGUCCGCCCCGGCAACGCGAGGCUCGAAGUUCACUAACUUCGCUGAAGUUCGAGUCCUAAUGACCGCCCUAGGGCUUGGUCGAAUUCUGGACUAGGCUCGAAAAGACUCUCCAAGCCCAAAUCCCUUGGGCAUAAGCGUUGCUAUACCUCUGGUCGGAGGACCAAGCAAUGGAGCUCGGCAAGCCGAACCUAAACCCGAACCCUGUGGCGGAUGGAGUUGAGACCAUAGAGCCCAUAUCCUCGGAACCUAAAAUGGAUCCGAGCAGAGAAACUUCCAGAUGG
RNAcentral lists this long non-coding RNA (509 nucleotides) under Phoenix dactylifera (date palm). RNAcentral describes it as "long non-coding RNA (PDAC_LNC003218)". Lineage: Eukaryota; Viridiplantae; Streptophyta; Magnoliopsida; Arecales; Arecaceae. The record is from RNAcentral.